This is a long non-coding RNA of Asparagus officinalis (garden asparagus), 420 nucleotides long. RefSeq lists it as uncharacterized. The record is from RefSeq and is a predicted model, not a curated record. NCBI's taxonomy places the organism in Eukaryota, Viridiplantae, Streptophyta, Magnoliopsida, Asparagales, Asparagaceae. The transcript has 2 exons.
GGAAUUGUUCUUUCUUCGCAGGACCAAGAGUACUUUAAGGAUUAAGACCAGUGACAGUGAUCACCUUCUCUCUCUUCACUUUCUCAGCUUCAGUUUUUGAGUCUUUCUUGUAAUCACUUGUGGUACUUCAGACUAAGAUGUAUUUUCCUCUUUCCUACUUUGAAGAGUUGUAGACAUACUCGGGAAUUGUUCUUUCUUCGCAGGACCAAGAGUACUUUAAGGAUUAAGACCAGUGACAGUGAUCACCUUCUCUCUCUUCACUUUCUCAGCUUCAGUUUUUGAGUCUUUCUUGUAAUCACUUGUGGUACUCCAGACUAAGAUGUAUUUUUUUUCCUCUUUCCUACUUUGAAAAGUUGUGGACAUGUAAGAGAAUUUGUCUUUUCAGAGUUUCUUUAUCUAUCUCGUUCCUUUGUUAUUUUA